CCGAUUCGCGACGGUUCGCAGGCGCGGUGCUGCGGGGUUCCCCCCGCGGCCCGCGUCCUGCGGCCAUCGCAUCUACCCUCCACUGUACGAGCACCUUUUCGUUCUCCUUCGGCGGGGCAACCUGCCGCUGGAACCAACAACCAAACCUUUUAUUAACAGCAUUACCCGUUCCGAUACCAACAAUCAAUUA
This 190-nucleotide unclassified non-coding RNA is filed under the name uncultured Ascomycota. Its description in RNAcentral is "sequence contains ITS1". The record is from RNAcentral. Lineage: Eukaryota; Fungi; Ascomycota.